RNAcentral lists this unclassified non-coding RNA (222 nucleotides) under Hevea brasiliensis (rubber tree). The record is from RNAcentral. Lineage: Eukaryota; Viridiplantae; Streptophyta; Magnoliopsida; Malpighiales; Euphorbiaceae.
UUCUUUUAUAUAUAUCUAUCCCUGUGUUAGCUUGUUCUUUGAGACUGUAUGAUGUCAGUGUGGAAUCUUUGAAUGUUAUCAGUUUGUGGUAGAGGCCUUUGAUACAUCAUACCAGGCUAGUGUUGCUUAGUGUGAUUGUUAUCAGUUGUGGUAGAGGCCUUCCAGACAUCAUACCAGUUUUAGUAGAUGCUUAGUGUGAUGCUUUAGUUUAAUUUGAAAUUG